RNAcentral lists this ribosomal RNA (458 nucleotides) under uncultured Anaerovibrio sp. RNAcentral's name for it is "bacterial SSU rRNA". It matches the Rfam family "Bacterial small subunit ribosomal RNA", at positions 341 to 792 of the family's 1533-position model. The record is from RNAcentral. Lineage: Bacteria; Bacillati; Bacillota; Negativicutes; Selenomonadales; Selenomonadaceae.
ACGGGAGGCAGCAGUGGGGAAUCUUCCGCAAUGGGCGAAAGCCUGACGGAGCAACGCCGCGUGAGUGAAGAAGGUUUUCGGAUCGUAAAGCUCUGUUGUCAGGGACGAGAGACGAGGUUAGGAAAUGAGCUUCGUAGGACGGUACCUGGCGAGAAAGCCACGGCUAACUACGUGCCAGCAGCCGCGGUAAUACGUAGGUGGCGAGCGUUGUCCGGAAUUAUUGGGCGUAAAGGGAGCGCAGGUGGGAAGGUAAGUCAGUCUUAAAAGUGCGGGGCUCAACCCCGUGAUGGGAUUGAAACUACUUUUCUUGAGUGCAGGAGAGGAAAGCGGAAUUCCUAGUGUAGCGGUGAAAUGCGUAGAUAUUAGGAGGAACACCAGUGGCGAAGGCGGCUUUCUGGACUGUAACUGACACUGAGGCUCGAAAGCGUGGGGAGCGAACAGGAUUAGAUACCCUGGUA